This 429-nucleotide ribosomal RNA is filed under the name uncultured bacterium. Its description in RNAcentral is "bacterial SSU rRNA". It matches the Rfam family "Bacterial small subunit ribosomal RNA", at positions 355 to 776 of the family's 1533-position model. The record is from RNAcentral.
UAGGGAAUCUUCCGCAAUGGACGAAAGUCUGACGGAGCGACACCGCGUGGAGGACGAAGGCCUUCGGGUUGUAAACUCCUUUUCCAGGGGAAGAAUAAGGGUAAGAGGAAAUGCUUACCUGAUGACGGUACUCUGGGAAUAAGCCACGGCUAACUCUGUGCCAGCAGCCGCGGUAAGACAGAGGUGGCAAACGUUACCCGGAUUCAUUGGGCGUAAAGGACGUCUAGGCGGUUUGGUGUGUCCUCUGUAAAAGCCCUCUGCUUAACGGGGGGAGGCCAGGGGAAACUACCAGACUAGAGGGUCGGAGAGGGAAGCGGAACUACCAGAGGAGCGGUGAAAUGCGUAGAUACUGGUAGGAACCUCGAUAGCGAAGGCAGCUUCCUGGCCGAUACCUGACGCUAAAGCGUGAAAGCGUGGGGAGCAAACCGG